This 344-nucleotide ribosomal RNA is filed under the name uncultured Flavobacteriaceae bacterium. RNAcentral's name for it is "bacterial SSU rRNA". It matches the Rfam family "Bacterial small subunit ribosomal RNA", at positions 8 to 353 of the family's 1533-position model. The record is from RNAcentral. Lineage: Bacteria; Pseudomonadati; Bacteroidota; Flavobacteriia; Flavobacteriales; Flavobacteriaceae.
AGAGUUUGAUCAUGGCUCAGGAUGAACGCUAGCGGCAGGCCUAACACAUGCAAGUCGAGGGGUAUAGGGAGCUUGCUUCCUAGAGACCGGCGCACGGGUGAGUAACGCGUAUGCAACCUACCUUUCACAGGGGAAUAGCCCGGAGAAAUUCGGAUUAAUGCCCCAUGGUUUAAUUGAUUGGCAUCAAUUGAUUAGUAAAGAUUUAUCGGUGAAAGAUGGGCAUGCGUAUCAUUAGCUAGUUGGUGUGGUAACGGCACACCAAGGCGACGAUGAUUAGGGGUCCUGAGAGGGAGAUCCCCCACACUGGUACUGAGACACGGACCAGACUCCUACGGGAGGCAGCA